GUUGAACGCUGGCGGCGUGCCUAGUACAUGCAAGUCGAGCGAACAGACGAGGAGCUUGCUCCUCUGACGUUAGAGGCGGACGGGUGAGUAACACGUGGAUAAACUACCUAUAAGACUGGGAUAACUUCGGGAAACCGGAGCUAAUACCGGAUAAUAUAUUGAACCGCAUGGUGCAAUAGUGAAAGACGGUUUUGCUGUCACUUUUAGAUGGAUCCGCGCCGCAUUAGCUAGUUGGUAAGGUAACGGCUUACCAAGGGAACGAUGCGUAGCAGGCCUGAGAGGAUGACCAGCCACACUGGAACUGAGACACGGCCCAGACUCCUACGGGAGGCAGCAGUGGGGAAUUUUGCACAAUGGGCGCAAGCCUGAUGCAGCAAUGCCGCGUGAAUGAAGAAGGUCUUCGGGUUGUAAAAUGCUUUUAUUCGGAAAGAAAAGAUUUUGGUGAAUACCUGGACGUAUUGACGGUACCGGAAGAGAAAGCACCGGCUAACUACGUG
Molecule: ribosomal RNA, 497 nt
Filed under: uncultured bacterium
Lineage: Bacteria
Description: partial 16S ribosomal RNA
Rfam family: Bacterial small subunit ribosomal RNA
Source: RNAcentral